UAGCCCUAACCACCAAAUCUACAAUUCACCACAUCUACACCAUAAAACCACCAAUACACUUUUAAACAACUUUAUUUCGGCUACAAAACCACCGUGAUCAAACAAUAAGCAACAACUUAAAACCUCCAUCAAUCUCUCAACCCUCACACAAACAUACCCCCUCCUUCUGAUCUAUUUCCAACAACUUUCAAACCGUAACAACUCACCAAACCUCACCGCCAAUUGCUUCUCUUUACUGUCAACAAACCUUCUCCGACCACCUGUUCAGUUAGAUUAUCGAAGGAGAAUUCAAUGCCUACAAUGGCCGAUCUGUGACAUCUCUAGAGCAGGAGGUUCUAUGGACAUGGAAGAUCUUCAAUGUGUUACAGGAUUAAGAACAUACAAGAUCAUGGAGAAGUAUGUUAGGGUGGUAGUUAUUAAGCAAGGAAAUUCCAGCUGCUGAGUUCGGUAACAAACAACUGUGUUCUGUUGCCACUGCAUCAACAACAACAUUACGGACCGACUAUCAUUGAAGGUGCCCACCCACAAGGCAAAGUUGAAAAAUUUCUUAGAUGCCCUGCUGCCUCGGGAGGUCAAGGAGAUUGUUGAUGAUUGUGGUAUCCUUACAUUGGUAGAUUAUUCCCUGACCAUUCUUGACGUUUCACUAUUGAGAGCUUUUAUUGAGCGGUGACAUAAUGAGACAUCUUCCUUCCAUGUUCUGUUUGGUGAGAUGACGAUUACCUUGGAUGAUGUCUCCUCUCAGUUCCAUCUUUCUCUGCCAGUGUCGAAUAUACGAGCAUUUCUCUUUCAUUUGUAAGAGGCGGUAUUCAUACGACUACUAGCUCCACACAUUCCAGAAGAUGAAAGUCCAGUCUUGCACACCUAGGCGGUGUUCUGGAGUACAGGAAGAGGAUUGAUGUUCUAAGUAUAUACAAUAUCAUCUAGACACCUUACGUAGACCAUAGAGUGCAUCGGGAGUUUGAUAAAUAUUCCUUUUUUCUAGUUAUUUGCGAUGGGAUGCCUUAAUGGCUAGACACUUACCUGAGAGGUGUACGUUCCAUUUUUUGGGUAUGUCCAGGACAUCCCACGACCAAUUCAUAUCGUUCCAUCCGAGGGUAUUGAUAGAUGGUUUGUGGGUAAUGUUAUUAGUUAUGCUCGUGUCAUUAGAGAUCAUGUAAUGGAGGUUCAGUUCCCUGCGCAGUGUGUGAAUGGUUACUUAGAGUGGUACCUUAUUGUAUCACACCCCCACAUCAUCCGAUCUGUUGAGACUGGAGAUGAUGUUGGACCUUUUGAUGUUGGGGGGGCUUCUAAUGACGUGUCACCGCCUCAACCGUUUCCACCUGUUGUGGCUGACCAACAUCGUCUGUAGAUGAUAGUAGUCAUUAUGGAUAACCUCAUGGGUUUGGUAAAGCCAUAUAGUGAGGUUUAUACUUUGGCAUCGCAGGCAACACACAUAGCUUGUGGGUGACCUGUGUAAUUAUUAUUAUUAUUUUUGUAUUAUU
Long non-coding RNA from Lathyrus oleraceus (garden pea), 1481 nucleotides. RefSeq lists it as uncharacterized. Lineage: Eukaryota; Viridiplantae; Streptophyta; Magnoliopsida; Fabales; Fabaceae. The transcript is spliced from 3 exons. The record is from RefSeq and is a predicted model, not a curated record.